AUACCCAUAAAGUGCCAUUGAGAUGGGCCGUUCCCUACUGGCACCUCUGGACCACACUGCGCUUGGUAGAAACAGUGGUUAAUUAGCAAUGCUCGGGCCUCCGCUACACUGCCGCCUCAUGUUCUUCACCAAGGAAGGCCAUCUAGGAAAUAGUGGGAGAUACCUGCCUGUGAUAGUAAAGCUCAGGAGGAUUAAAAAAAAAAGCAACAGAAAAGCGUCCUCUCUCCUUUCCUCUUUGCCAGGACUGACUGGAUCCCUGCAGGGCCCCUCCGCCCCGUGAGUAAGACAGAGGAAGAUUCCCUCCUUUGUUCUAGUCACAGUCAUGGGAGAAAUGCUGCCUCUGCCCUCAAGGCACUCUCUAUCAACAUCUGAGUAGAUGAUAGGCAAUUUCAUCAUCAGAAGGUUUUGGCAACAGAAAAAAAAAAAAAUAACUUCUUUUAAAAACAAAACAAAUUUUUAAAAUAUCAAGAUCACAUCAGCUCCUUUAUCAACAAAGAGCGAGGGGGUAAAAAAUGAAAGUUUGUUUAUUGAAUCCCAGCCUGUUCUGAAAGAGGAAGUUGGAACAUAUUCCAAAAAGCAGUGAAGAGCACACGUAUAGAGAGUCAAAGCAUGUGUCUUCCAAUGAUGGCAAGUUGACAGUACAAUUUUCCUUUGUGGAUUUUCUGAAGUCCCCAGCAUGAAUAUAGUAAGAACUAUCAUCUACUGGGUACUUACUACAUGCCAGCAUUUUCCAUGGCCUUCCUCAAAUUCUGAGAACAGCCCAGUGAGGUGGCACUACUCAGCCUAUUUUAUACUAACAGAAAGAGAGAUGAUGCAUUACCAGCAAAUCUGCUGCCAAGGAACAAAGAACAGAGAAAUGAGAGCAUCCUCGAGCUCAGCCAUUGGAGACAGAAUGAAAGGCAGAUUUACCUGCAAGAGCAGCUGAUAUUUUUACUGCAAACCUCCUCCAAGCAGGCUGUGAGGUUUGGAAUGCGCGUGCCCUGCAAGCUGCACACAGCAAUCCUCCAGGCGGCCACGGCUGGGUCCUCGCAGCCUCCACGCACGCAGAAUACUAAACACACCCCGGGAGUUCCCGAUGCGGCCACCUGGUUACGGCCCUGCCCACGCUUGUCUGCAGCAAUUGCUCUCUGGGAGAGGCUUCACGCAUAUCUGUUCCCGAGCAUCUGUAGACAGUGUUCGCAAAGCACAGCUCCGUAUGGGAAAAUAUGAGCCGCCAGCAAAUCAUCUUCAUGGGGGCAGGAACAUCGCCAGGUGGAAAAUAUUGCUCCGAUGACUUCCGCGUAAGGAAAGAACCAGCUGAGAUAGCUAUAGUGCUAUGGCUUCCAUUUCCAAUAAAGCAAAAGCCUUUCAAGAAGCCCUUCCA
RNAcentral lists this long non-coding RNA (1363 nucleotides) under Vulpes vulpes (red fox). Its description in RNAcentral is "lncRNA (ENSVVUG00000023691.1)". The record is from RNAcentral. Lineage: Eukaryota; Metazoa; Chordata; Mammalia; Carnivora; Canidae.